UUUAGUUUUCAAAUAAUUCACUUGUUCCAUAAGGCCUCUUUCCACAUGUAACAACGGACUGACAAUUUACUUUUCUAAUAAUUCACUUGUUCCAAGAAUUAACUGUCUCAAGUUCAGCAUGAUUGUCUCUCUCUGAUUCACACAACAAGGCCCUAACACAUUUUGUACCAAAUAGUCUACCGACUAAGCUUUCAUCCUCACCUGCAAUGUUCAAUAGAGAAUAAUAAGGUUCAACAAGGCCAUAUAGAAAAAUUUGGCCUUCUACAAAGCUUGAAUUAUGGGCAACAUAUCUGAAGAAAUUCAUAAGAGAGUAAGGUCAACAAAGGAAAUUCACAAGAGAGUAAGCCCAACACUGAUCCCUCUCCUUCUAUACCAACAUCGCUCACCUUCCAGCCCAACAUCACUCCCUCGAUGCCAAUCAUGACCAGAUCAUGAAACCAGGACGAAGAGAGGGGGGUGAGGGGGAGAGGCCGCACCUCAAGCAUGUCGUCGGCAAAUCCAAAACCGCGGCGCACGUGAGAGGGGAUCCUGGGGAUGAGCAGACGACCUUUGGAAGAAAAACCAGGGAGGGUGGAGGCCACCAACGCCUUGCCCCGACAGGAGCUUGGGGGAGCACCGCCCGUGCAUCUAACAAGCAUCAUUGAAGAAUUUCCAAAAGCACGAACAAAAAAAACAAAUUAUGUGCUUAUGCUUAUAUCUUCUAGGCGCAAACAAAGAUCAAACAAAGGGAGAUAUCACAAUACCAAUAAAUGAUCAUAAGCCUAAUAUAUGUUUAUUCUCAAAUAUAUAGGAUCGAACAAAUAUAUUUGACUUAUAUAUUACUACUGACUCAUUUAUUUGUUCUUCGGCAUUUAUUGGCGUCAAACACAAUACAAGAACUGCUAACAAUAUAAAUGACACCAAUAAUAAAACUAAUUAAGUUGUUUUAUUUUCUCCUUUGUUAAUGGCUAUGAUGUGAAAUAAUGCUCAAACUAUUGACACAUAUGUUAGGUGAGAAGGUAAACUCCUGAGUAUAGCUAUCAAGAAGAUGAAUAAUUCUUGAAGUCAACUACAAACAUUUAACUGUGUAACUUGCAUGGAUAACACAAUACUCAGAUUAUAGGAUUUAUUAUUUGUGAAUCACAACAUCUAUACGGACUAUACGGUCUUGGAACAAGCAAAGAUCCAUCCCUCAGAGACAUGUUCUAGCAUAGGAGCACAUCAGACAACAAUACAGGCCAAGUAGUAGAAUAGUAACAUCAAGUUAGGACAUUCCAAGCAGCAGCAGGGGCAAUGCAAAGGCAAAAACAAUGAGAUGUAGUUUGAGUAAAUACAAGCGGCAAGCUGCAGAAAUCACAAUUAACAACACCAUGAUGUAGUAUUGGGAGGCUUAGUUUGUGUGCAAACAAAAUCUGUAUACACUCUGCACUAUUUAAAAUGAUAGUUCAUAACGUCUAAUCAGCAGUGGAUCAUAUAGUAGAUGUGUGUGUGUUUCAGUUCUGACAGUAAAAUAUGGUUUACUUGGGGGGAGUACACUUUUAAUUUGCAGAAAGAUUUUAGAGUAGAAUUAAAUUGGAAUUAAAUGAUAAAAAGAUGAAUUGGUGGACAUACAUAGAUGGCUAAGGUACCUGGGAGCAGAGGAUGACUGCUCCAUGAUUCAGGAAGACGUGAAGCGG
RNAcentral lists this long non-coding RNA (1655 nucleotides) under Hordeum vulgare. RNAcentral's name for it is "long non-coding RNA (HVUL_LNC014436)". The record is from RNAcentral. Lineage: Eukaryota; Viridiplantae; Streptophyta; Magnoliopsida; Poales; Poaceae.